Molecule: ribosomal RNA, 253 nt
Filed under: uncultured bacterium
Lineage: Bacteria
Description: partial 16S ribosomal RNA
Rfam family: Bacterial small subunit ribosomal RNA
Source: RNAcentral
UACAGAGGGGGCAAGCGUUGUUCGGAAUUACUGGGCGUAAAGGGCUCGUAGGCGGCCAACUAAGUCGGACGUGAAAUCCCUCAGCUUAACUGGGGAACUGCGUCCGAUACUGGAUGGCUUGGAUUCGGGAGAGGGAUGCGGAAUUCCAGGUGUAGCGGUGAAAUGCGUAGAUAUCUGGAGGAACACCGGUGGCGAAGGCGGCAUCCUGGACCGAUAUUGACGCUGAGGAGCGAAAGCCAGGGGAGCAAACGGG